Molecule: long non-coding RNA, 1733 nt
Organism: Acinonyx jubatus (cheetah)
Lineage: Eukaryota; Metazoa; Chordata; Mammalia; Carnivora; Felidae
Exons: 4
Source: RefSeq, a predicted model, not a curated record
CUCAAGAACCAUGAGAUCAUGACUUGAGCCAUAAUCAAGAGUCCAUUGCUUACUGACUGGGCCACCCGGGUGCCCAUUGUUGUCCUUUUUUAGUUCCUUCUUCGAUAAUAUAGGUGAUUCCACUUAUUCCCAUGCUAGAAGACUAUUUAGCAACAUCCAGUAAAAAAACAAAACAACAACAACAACAAAAAACAAAUUCCUCAAAGGAUAAUAUUGACUUCAAAACCUAGUUACAAGUGCUGUAGUAAUUAUCUACCUCAAGUUGGAAUUUCUCUUCCUGUUCAAAAGUACGGUUGACCUUUUCACCAGCAGCCUUGCUAACAAAAGGGAUAAAGUUGAUGCCAACUUCUUCCUUAAUACACUCAGCAAAUUCCUUUAAACAGUGGAGCACCGUUGAAAACCUUGUAGCUCUUCUUUCACUUUGCAUAAUCCUCUUACCAAACUGAUUGAAGACAAUGACCAAGAAAUAGGGAGCUUUUACAGAAUAAGUUACACUAGUUCCCCCUUCUCUGGGAUUUGGCUUUUCCGCAGUUCCAGCUCUAGGCAGUCAACCCCGAUCAGAAGCAGGGGCAUCAGAAGGUCAAUCCGUAGCCUGACGCCACGUCAGUGAAGUCACAAAGUCUGCGACACGCCCCUCACUUAUCCCAUUCGGUGACGUCACAAAGUCUGCGACACGCCCCUUCCGUGAUCCCUCACACAGGCAUUUUAUCAUCUCACAUCAUCACAGGAGGGAAUUUGAAGAUUGAAUUUGGUAGUCUUCUGACCACGUUGCUGCCAUCCAUCACUCACAAAUCAACUCAUCAUGACCUGUAACCAGGAACGGAGAGUUGCAAACUUGCCAACUAGCAAAGAAUUGAACUCAGUUGAACUCUGAUGCAGAAAAGCCAAACCUGCAGGAGAGGCCAUAAGAGAUGGUUGAGAGGUUUGUGGAGUAUGGUUUGCCGCUAGUAUUGCCAUGUCAGUGAUGUUUAUUUGGAGAGAGAGCAAGAAGGGAAGGGGCAGAGAGAGGAAGAGACAGAAUCCCAAGGAGUCUCUCCACAGUCUCUGCAGAGCUCAGUUGUGGGGCUUGAACUCACAAACCCAUGAGAUCAUGACGUGAGCUGAGAUCAAGAUCCGAAAGCUUAGCCAACUAAGCCACCCAGGCACCCCUCAACGUUGAUCUUUUGAAUUACUCACUUUGGAUGAAACCAGUUGCUAUGCUGUGGUCAAGCAGUUCUGUGAAAAGGAACUGAGAUCUCCCAUGAAGAGCCAGCACCAACCAAAUGAACAACUUGGAAGUAGAUUUGCAACCAGGGUCAAGCCUUCAGAUGACGUCAGCCCCAAAUAUGGACAUCUGACGGUAACUUCACGAGAGACCCCAAGCCAGAACUGCCCAGCCAAGCCACACCUAAAUUCCUGACCCACAGAAAUACAUGCGAGAAUAAAUGAUUACAGUUGUGUUAAGCCACUAAAUUUUGAAGCAAUUUAAUAUGUAGAACUAGAUCAUUUAUACAAUUGGGAUCAGAACUCAGAUUUGUCUGACCUGAGAACCAUAUCUCUUACUAUUUUUCCCCCCUUACUACCUAUGUUAUGAAAUAGCUUGUCUUGCUGAGUGUGACUCAAACAGUAGCCCCAGGAGUAAAGUAUGGAAUCCAGGAGAGUAUUUGAUUCUAAAACCACUCAAUAUGCCCCAGUUAGAAAGCUAACAAUUGUAGCUUCAACCUUCAACUCCAAAUAAAAGGUUGUUUUCCUAA